This 468-nucleotide ribosomal RNA is filed under the name uncultured bacterium. RNAcentral describes it as "partial 16S ribosomal RNA". It matches the Rfam family "Bacterial small subunit ribosomal RNA", at positions 28 to 507 of the family's 1533-position model. The record is from RNAcentral.
GACGAACGCUGGCGGCGUGCUUAACACAUGCAAGUCGAACGGAAAGGCCCUGCUUUUGUGGGGUGCUCGAGUGGCGAACGGGUGAGUAACACGUGAGUAACCUGCCCUUGACUUUGGGAUAACUUCAGGAAACUGGGGCUAAUACCGGAUAGGAGCUCCUGCUGCAUGGUGGGGGUUGGAAAGUUUCGGCGGUUGGGGCUGGACUCGCGGCUUAUCAGCUUGUUGGUGGGGUAGUGGCUUACCAAGGCUUUGACGGGUAGCCCGCCUGAGAGGGUGAACGGCGACAAUGGGCCUGAGGUACGGCCCAGAAGGCUACCGGAGGCAGUGGUGGGGAAUUUUGCGGAAUGGGGGGGAGUCUGAUAUAAAGAUCUCGGGUGCGGGAAGAUCGGCUUCGGGGGAUAAACCGAUUUCGCCUGUGACGAAGCGUGAGUGACGGUAAUGGGUAAAGAAGCACCGGCUAACUACGUG